CCGUCAGAACGAACGCUGGCGGCAGGCUUAACACAUGCAAGUCGAGCGAGACCUUCGGGUCUAGCGGCGGACGGGUGAGUAACGCGUGGGAACGUGCCCUUCUCUACGGAAUAGCCCCGGGAAACUGGGAGUAAUACCGUAUACGCCCUUUGGGGGAAAGAUUUAUCGGAGAAGGAUCGGCCCGCGUUGGAUUAGGUAGUUGGUGGGGUAAUGGCCCACCAAGCCGACGAUCCAUAGCUGGUUUGAGAGGAUGAUCAGCCACACUGGGACUGAGACACGGCCCAGACUCCUACGGGAGGCAGCAGUGGGGAAUCUUAGACAAUGGGGGCAACCCUGAUCUAGCCAUGCCGCGUGAGUGAUGAAGGCCUUAGGGUUGUAAAGCUCUUUCAGCUGGGAAGAUAAUGACGGUACCAGCAGAAGAAGCCCCGGCUAACUCCGUGCCAGCAGCCGCGGUAAUACGGAGGGGGCUAGCGUUGUUCGGAAUUACUGGGCGUAAAGCGCACGUAGGCGGACUGGAAAGUCAGAGGUGAAAUCCCAGGGCUCAACCUUGGAACUGCCUUUGAAACUAUCAGUCUGGAGUUCGAGAGAGGUGAGUGGAAUUCCGAGUGUAGAGGUGAAAUUCGUAGAUAUUCGGAGGAACACCAGUGGCGAAGGCGGCUCACUGGCUCGAUACUACGCUAGUCAUUU
RNAcentral lists this ribosomal RNA (687 nucleotides) under Paracoccus marcusii. Its description in RNAcentral is "bacterial SSU rRNA". It matches the Rfam family "Bacterial small subunit ribosomal RNA", at positions 21 to 752 of the family's 1533-position model. The record is from RNAcentral. Lineage: Bacteria; Pseudomonadati; Pseudomonadota; Alphaproteobacteria; Rhodobacterales; Paracoccaceae.